RNAcentral lists this ribosomal RNA (508 nucleotides) under uncultured bacterium. RNAcentral's name for it is "partial 16S ribosomal RNA". It matches the Rfam family "Bacterial small subunit ribosomal RNA", at positions 28 to 507 of the family's 1533-position model. The record is from RNAcentral.
GACGAACGCUGGCGGCGUGCCUAAUACAUGCAAGUCGAACGCUUCUUUCCUCCCGAGCGCUUGCACUCAAUUGGAAAGAGGAGUGGCGGACGGGUGAGUAACACGCGGGUAACCUACCCAUCAGAGGGGGAUAACACUUGGAAACAGGUGCUAAUACCGCAUAACAGUUUAUGCCGCAUGGCAUAAGAGUGAAAGGCGCUUUCGGGUGUCGCUGAUGGAUGGACCCGCGGUGCAUUAGCUAGUUGGUGAGGUAACGGCUCACCAAGGCCACGAUGCAUAGCCGACCUGAGAGGGUGAUCGGCCACACUGGGACUGAGACACGGCCCAGACUCCUACGGGAGGCAGCAGUAGGGAAUCUUCGGCAAUGGACGAAAGUCUGACCGAGCAACGCCGCGUGAGUGAAGAAGGUUUUCGGAUCGUAAAACUCUGUUGUUAGAGAAGAACAAGGACGUUAGUAACUGAACGUCCCCUGACGGUAUCUAACCAGAAAGCCACGGCUAACUACGUG